CGGGGUGAGUAAUGCUUGGGAAUCUAGCUUAUGGAGGGGGAUAACUACGGGGAACUGUAGCUAAUACCGCGUAGUAUCGGAAGAUGAAAGUGUGGGACCUUCGGGCCACAUGCCAUAGGAUGAGCCCAAGUGGGAUUAGGUAGUUGGUGAGGUAAAGGCUCACCAAGCCGACGAUCUCUAGCUGGUCUGAGAGGAUGACCAGCCACACUGGGACUGAGACACGGCCCAG
RNAcentral lists this ribosomal RNA (229 nucleotides) under uncultured bacterium. Its description in RNAcentral is "partial 16S ribosomal RNA". It matches the Rfam family "Bacterial small subunit ribosomal RNA", at positions 104 to 334 of the family's 1533-position model. The record is from RNAcentral.